This 376-nucleotide long non-coding RNA is filed under the name Elaeis guineensis (African oil palm). RNAcentral's name for it is "long non-coding RNA (EGUI_LNC019301)". The record is from RNAcentral. Lineage: Eukaryota; Viridiplantae; Streptophyta; Magnoliopsida; Arecales; Arecaceae.
AUCCAUGUAGCCCCACGUUUCAAAGCUAUAGGCCCAUCUCACCCCCGACCGAGCCAGGGCCAGAUCCGGCUAAUUCCCGGUCGCAACCAACAUAUCCGUUCUCCUCCGCUGUGCUUCCAUAGUAGUCCUUCGGUCAUGUAUAAGCUAUUUAUGUGCAAGCUACAGAGGCCCUUGAUAACUUUUAUGAUCACUCUCUCUCUCUCAUGGAAAAUUCCGGUUCUCGUGACCAUCCAGUGCAUGACAUCAAUUAUGUUUCCCUUUGAUCGGGGGGGAGUGAAGCUUGGCGUGUCUUGUCGUCUGGUGUGGGUUAGCUCACCAUAGAUACCACACCCCACACACGAGACAAAACCUACAUGUGUGUGGAGAAGAGAGAGAG